GGACUACCCGGGUUUCUAAUCCUGUUUGAUCCCCACGCUUUCGUGCAUCAGCGUCAGUUACAGUUUCGUCAGCUGCCUUCGCAAUCGGUGUUCUGUGUCAUAUCUAUGCAUUUCACCGCUACAUGACACAUUCCGCCAACGGCAUCUGUACUCAAGCCCUACAGUAUCAAUGGCACGUCUGUCGUUAAGCGACAGGAUUUCACCACUGACUUAUAAGGCCGCCUACGCACCCUUUAAACCCAAUAAAUCCGGAUAACGCUCGCAUCCUUCGUAUUACCGCGGCUGCUGGCAC
RNAcentral lists this ribosomal RNA (292 nucleotides) under uncultured Bacteroidota bacterium. RNAcentral describes it as "uncultured Bacteroidetes bacterium partial 16S ribosomal RNA". Lineage: Bacteria; Pseudomonadati; Bacteroidota. The record is from RNAcentral.